Molecule: long non-coding RNA, 830 nt
Organism: Quercus robur (English oak)
Lineage: Eukaryota; Viridiplantae; Streptophyta; Magnoliopsida; Fagales; Fagaceae
Exons: 2
Source: RefSeq, a predicted model, not a curated record
UAAAAAAUAAAUAAGAGCCACAGUUCACUUUCCCUUCAACGGAUCUACGUUUUUUUUGGAAUAUGAAAAUAUCGAUAAAAGCUCACCCAUUCACUUCCCCAAAUCCAACUGUUUUUCCUCAACUCAGAAAACCAAAAUUCUAGAAUCAAAAGCAGAUCAAGAAAUCGAAAUUCCACUCUUACACAACUAAUGGUACAUCUUACCACACCGGUUCUGAUUCCUAAAUAUACAGCUCCCCUCGCUUUUUCAAUGGAUACUAUGGAAUUUGAAAGGGAUCUCUCGAGAUUAAUGAUGCAUGCUUUUGGGUAUUUCUGUAUCUUAUGUGGCAAGAGGAAAAAUCAGUGGUUGCAGAUAGGAAUAAGCCUGAACUUCAAAAUCAGGAGCAGCAAGAAGUGAGGUGUGAGAAUGUUUGUUGUGUUGGGUCAGAGUUCUUGUCCUUUAAGAGAGAAACAACUAUUCUUUUUUUUUCCUAGACCAAAAGAUAUAUGUAGGUACUUCAUGUUUGUGCUCUCUUCUUCUUCUUAUUCUUCUCUUCUUCUUCUUCUUUUUUUCCUUAAUGAUGCUGUGGGACAUAUUUUUGCUGAGAUAAAAGUCCUUAUAUGUUCCUUUCAUUCCUGGGAUAUCUAUUGUGCUACCAAUCUGUUAAUGUUGUAGCUAAGAAGUUGACUCAAUUUGCAAUUCGUCAGAGUUAUUGUUGCAGCUCUAGAGCAUUUUCCAUUGUUAUAUUUCAAAUAAAUAUAUUGUUGUAAUGGGCUGACAAAUUUUUUUUCAAUGUAUUGCUGAAGAAGUGAUAGAAGAUUUUGUAUAUUUGAAGGAUGUGUUUAUUCACA